AGACCCACUUUCUGUGAUUCCCAUAUUCGACAUGAGCGAUGUCUUCGUAAUUGAUCGCCAAGCAAAAGCAAGCUUAUCGAAAGUAUAUGAACAUGUUAAAUAUAUGGUUAAAGAGCUUCCUAAAGAAAUGUGCACCUUGUUAUCAAGAUUAUAUGACGACGUCGAUUCGAAGCUAAACAAUCAGCUCAGUGCACUUUCAGAAAAAUGCACAAUAGUUGUUGCAGGCAAAUCAAACCCAGGUAUGAACAGUUUUAUGAAAACUAUAUUGGGAAGCGAUGUAAUUCCUAACCCGCGUG
Molecule: long non-coding RNA, 296 nt
Organism: Dreissena polymorpha
Lineage: Eukaryota; Metazoa; Mollusca; Bivalvia; Myida; Dreissenidae
Exons: 3
Source: RefSeq, a predicted model, not a curated record